ACGAACGCUGGCGGCGUGCCUAAUACAUGCAAGUCGAGCGAAGUUUUUCUGGUGCUUGCACUAGAAAAACUUAGCGGCGAACGGGUGAGUAACACGUAAAGAACCUGCCUCAUAGACUGGGGCAACUAUUGGAAACGAUAGCUAAUACCGGAUAACAGCAUUAACUGCAUGGUUGAUGUUUAAAAGUUGGUUCUGCUAACACUAUGAGAUGGCUUUGCGGUGCAUUAGCUAGUUGGUGGGGUAAAGGCCUACCAAGGCGACGAUGCAUAGCCGACCUGAGAGGGUGAUCGGCCACACUGGGACUGAGACACGGCCCAGACUCCUACGGGAGGCAGCAGUAGGGAAUCUUCCGCAAUGGGCGAAAGCCUGACGGAGCAACGCCGCGUGAGUGAAGAAGGAUUUCGGUUCGUAAAGCUCUGUUGUUAGGGAAGAAUGAUUGUGUAGUAACUAUACACAGUAGAGACGGUACCUAACCAGAAAGCCACGGCUAACUACGUG
This 498-nucleotide ribosomal RNA is filed under the name uncultured bacterium. Its description in RNAcentral is "partial 16S ribosomal RNA". It matches the Rfam family "Bacterial small subunit ribosomal RNA", at positions 29 to 507 of the family's 1533-position model. The record is from RNAcentral.